Molecule: ribosomal RNA, 447 nt
Filed under: uncultured bacterium
Lineage: Bacteria
Description: partial 16S ribosomal RNA
Rfam family: Bacterial small subunit ribosomal RNA
Source: RNAcentral
CCCAGACUCCUACGGGAGGCAGCAGUGGGGGAUAUUGCACAAUGGGGGAAACCCUGAUGCAGCGACGCCGCGUGGGUGAAGAAGCGCCUCGGCGCGUAAAGCCCUAUCGGCAGGGAAGAAGGAGGACGGUACCUGACUAAGAAGCCCCGGCUAACUACGUGCCAGCAGCCGCGGUAAUACGUAGGGGGCAAGCGUUAUCCGGAUUUACUGGGUGUAAAGGGGGCGCAGACGGCAGCGCAAGCCAGGAGUGAAAGCCCGGGGCCCAACCCCGGGACUGCUCUUGGAACUGCGCGGCUGGAGUGCAGGAGGGGCAGGCGGAAUUCCUGGUGUAGCGGUGAAAUGCGUAGAUAUCAGGAGGAACACCGGUGGCGAAGGCGGCCUGCUGGACUGCGACUGACGUUGAGGCCCGAAAGCGUGGGGAGCAAACAGGAUUAGAUACCCUCGUAU